UACGUAGGUGGCAAGCGUUAUCCGGAAUUAUUGGGCGUAAAGCGCUCGCAGGCGGUUUCUUAAGUCUGAUGUGAAGGCCCACGGCUCAACCGUGGAGGGUCAUUGGAAACUGGGAGACUUGAGUGCAGAAGAGGAGAGUGGAAUUCCACGUGUAGCGGUGAAAUGCGUAGAGAUGUGGAGGAACACCAGUGGCGAAGGCGACUCUCUGGUCUGUAACUGACGCUGAGGAGCGAAAGCGUGGGGAGCAGACAGG
Molecule: ribosomal RNA, 253 nt
Filed under: uncultured bacterium
Lineage: Bacteria
Description: partial 16S ribosomal RNA
Rfam family: Bacterial small subunit ribosomal RNA
Source: RNAcentral